Microplitis mediator is the source of this 981-nucleotide long non-coding RNA. RefSeq lists it as uncharacterized. NCBI's taxonomy places the organism in Eukaryota, Metazoa, Arthropoda, Insecta, Hymenoptera, Braconidae. The transcript has 3 exons. The record is from RefSeq and is a predicted model, not a curated record.
UAUUGGGACCAAAUACAUGAUAACGGGCUAGAAAAAAGUAAGCAAGUGAGACCUCUUUUUCAUGAGGGGUCUAUUUUGCCCCCUCUUCCCCUAUUAUUAUAAAUUUGAUUUUUUUUUAUCAGAAAUUGUAUAAAUUUAAAUUUGUAUGAAAAUUAUUUAUACACAGAAAAAAUGCGUCUUGGCUGAAAACAUUUUUUAAUUUUGUUGGGGUAUAAAAAAAAUUUUUGAAAUGCCAUUAGAAGAAUUUUACGAAAAAGAGAACGAAGGGAAGAAAAUGAAUCCGUAAAAUUUUAAUUGAUAAUAAAUUUUUAUAAAAAAUAAAUUUUGAAAAUUAUUUUUGAAUUCUUAGUGAAAAAAAAUUUAUUUAAGAUUUUGAAUAUGCGAAUUAUUCAGUGGCGGAAAAAAAAUCUCAAGGAAUUGCCAGAAUGUUGUCGAUUACUUUCACGUAACAAUUAUCGAUUAGAACAAUUAAAAUAAUUAAAUAUAACUAUUACGAUAAAUAACCAUUUAAAUUUUGAGUAAAAAGUCGAGUUUCAAGUAUAGAGGAGUAGAAAUUCAUUAAAUAAUACACGAGACAUCGAUCGCUUCUAACAAAAUUCUUUGUUAAUUAAAUAAAUAAAAUCAAAGAUGUCCAAAUUUAUUAUUUUACUGCUGGUGUCCAUGUUGGUCAUAAAUAUUUGUGCUCAAGACUGUUUAGAAGCUGGACAAGAUUGUAAAGAAGAUAAGGAAUGUUGCAAGAAGAGGUGCGGUGAAGUCAAAGGGAAAAAAAGUUGUUCCCUAACAAGAGAAGAAAUGGAUCUACUGAGUCGACACAUAGAUGCUAUGGGUUAAGCUACGCCGUUAGAAAUUAUUUAUUUUGUCUAACGGCACCCCCUAAAAAAUGAAAUUUUCAAUCUUCUUAGUGGGAAGUUUAAAAAAAAAAUUCUGGAUAUCAAAUAAAUUUAAUUAAAUUAAAUUUUUCUGUACACGUAAUUAACAUAU